This 492-nucleotide long non-coding RNA is filed under the name Brassica napus (rape). Its description in RNAcentral is "long non-coding RNA (BNAP_LNC007799)". The record is from RNAcentral. Lineage: Eukaryota; Viridiplantae; Streptophyta; Magnoliopsida; Brassicales; Brassicaceae.
GAAACUUGGUCGGGUUUGGAAUGCUUGGAGAAGUUGGUCUUGGUGUACUGUCUCUGUUCUUGGAAAUCAAUUCUUGUGGUUGUUGAUCCUUGAAGGUCAGAGGCUUUUCGAGCUCUAUUUUAGUUUUGAGGAGAAUCAGAGGGAGAUAGAAGUUUUUAGGAGCGAUUGCUCCUUUGUUGGUCGAUUGCCACCGAGUUUUGUUCGUGAUUGUUCUGGAUUUGGAGUGGUUUUUAUCCAGUUACCGGCUGUCUGAAUAAGACGUGUUCAGGAAGCUUUUGUAGGCUUCGCUGUGGGGUGUUGGGCGUAUGAGGCGCAUGGAGAGCACAAUCAAGGUCCAAUGGCGAGUCUUAGUUGGGAUUGAAGGGUGUGUGCAGCGACGGUUAAGGAUUUUAACCUCUCUUGAUUCGGUUUAUGUGUUGGUGAUGUUCGUGUGCGUCAGGUCUAUCUCGAUGAUCUUCUCUCCUGGUGUUAUUUAUGAAUGUGUGCUCGUUA